This 489-nucleotide long non-coding RNA is filed under the name Pan troglodytes (chimpanzee). Its description in RNAcentral is "long non-coding RNA NONPTRT008478". The record is from RNAcentral. Lineage: Eukaryota; Metazoa; Chordata; Mammalia; Primates; Hominidae.
UGCAACUGCAUGACCAGCGGGGUCGCACACCACAAGACUGGGCUGAGCAGGGUGGGGCCAAGCAGAACUGGGAGGUGAGCAGUAGCCCUGGUGGGAGUGAGGCAUCAGGGCCGGCACCCAUCAGGCCUCACCCUACGUGCCCUCCUCCAGUUGCUGGAGUUGUUGCAGCUCUGCCGGGCCCACAUAUCAGCGUUCGUGCAUGACGGUGAGUUGCCACCCAUGGCAUCUCUGGACCGGUUGCAGGCCAGAUUUGGGAACAGCCCGCCUGGCUCCCUGUCCUCCCUGAGGCUGAUGCAGGCAGACAGGACGCUGAGGCUAGCACAGAUCAGGAGAGCCUCCCAAGUCCCGGCCUUGGGGUUUGGUCAGCCUCCUGUGGAUGGGUCACAAAAUGACUGUGCAGCAGCCGAAGGCCCCUGGAACCCAGACAGAUGUGCUACUGGCUGACCUUCAGCACUGCAGGUGCAGAUUGCCUGCCCUGGCACGUGGUGG